This 465-nucleotide ribosomal RNA is filed under the name uncultured Halanaerobiaceae bacterium. Its description in RNAcentral is "bacterial SSU rRNA". It matches the Rfam family "Bacterial small subunit ribosomal RNA", at positions 338 to 795 of the family's 1533-position model. Lineage: Bacteria; Bacillati; Bacillota; Clostridia; Halanaerobiales; Halanaerobiaceae. The record is from RNAcentral.
CCUACGGGUGGCUGCAGUGGGGAAUCUUCCGCAAUGGGCGAAAGCCUGACGGAGCAACGCCGCGUGAACGAAGAAGGCCUUCGGGUCGUAAAGUUCUGUCCUCAGGGAAGAACCCUCAUGGGAGGAAAUGCCCAUGAGCUGACGGUACCUGGGAAGGAAGCCCUGGCUAACUACGUGCCAGCAGCCGCGGUAAUACGUAGAGGGCAAGCGUUGUCCGGAAUGACUGGGCGUAAAGGGUACGCAGGCGGAUAAGUAAGUCAAAUGUGAAAGGCACCGGCUCAACCGGUGAGCUGCAUUUGAAACUGCCUAUCUUGAGUUCAGGAGAGGAGAGCGGAAUUCCUGGUGUAGCGGUGGAAUGCGUAGAUAUCAGGAAGAACACCAGUGGCGAAGGCGGCUCUCUGGCCUGAAACUGACGCUCAUGUACGAAAGCUGGGGGAGCGAACGGGAUUAGAUACCCCAGUAGUC